Molecule: small RNA, 107 nt
Filed under: Marmota monax (woodchuck)
Lineage: Eukaryota; Metazoa; Chordata; Mammalia; Rodentia; Sciuridae
Source: RNAcentral
GCCAGGUGUGGUGGCUCCCACCUGUGAUCCCAGGAACUCAGGAGGCUGAGGCAGGAGGAUGGCAACUCUGAGGCCAGUCUCAGCCAUUUACCAAGACCCUGUCUCCA